UAGGGAAUCUUGCGCAAUGGGCGAAAGCCUGACGCAGCCAUGCCGCGUGAAUGAUGAAGGUCUUAGGAUUGUAAAAUUCUUUCACCGGGGAAGAUAAUGACGGUACCCGGAGAAGAAGCCCCGGCUAACUUCGUGCCAGCAGCCGCGGUAAUACGAAGGGGGCUAGCGUUGCUCGGAAUUACUGGGCGUAAAGGGCGCGUAGGCGGACAGUUAAGUCAGAGGUGAAAGCCCAGGGCUCAACCUUGGAAUUGCCUUUGAUACUGGCUGUCUUGAGUUCGGGAGAGGUGAGUGGAAUGCCGAGUGUAGAGGUGAAAUUCGUAGAUAUUCGGCGGAACACCAGUGGCGAAGGCGACUCACUGGCCCGAUACUGACGCUGAGGCGCGAAAGCGUGGGGAGCAAACAGG
This 404-nucleotide ribosomal RNA is filed under the name uncultured Phenylobacterium sp. RNAcentral describes it as "bacterial SSU rRNA". It matches the Rfam family "Bacterial small subunit ribosomal RNA", at positions 355 to 776 of the family's 1533-position model. Lineage: Bacteria; Pseudomonadati; Pseudomonadota; Alphaproteobacteria; Caulobacterales; Caulobacteraceae. The record is from RNAcentral.